This 355-nucleotide ribosomal RNA is filed under the name uncultured bacterium. RNAcentral describes it as "bacterial SSU rRNA". It matches the Rfam family "Bacterial small subunit ribosomal RNA", at positions 28 to 384 of the family's 1533-position model. The record is from RNAcentral.
GACGAACGCUGGCGGCGUGCCUAACACAUGCAAGUCGAACGGAGUUAAGACUUCGGUUUUAACUUAGUGGCGAACGGGUGAGUAACGCGUGAGGAACCUGCCUCUCAGUGGGGGACAACAGUUGGAAACGACUGCUAAUACCGCAUAAUGUUUCUGGACCGCAUGAUCUGGAAACCAAGCUUUAUGUGCUGAGAGAUGGCCUCGCGUCUGAUUAGCUAGUUGGCGGGGUAACGGCCCACCAAGGCGACGAUCAGUAGCCGGUCUGAGAGGAUGAACGGCCACAUUGGGACUGAGAUACGGCCCAGACUCCUACGGGAGGCAGCAGUGGGGAAUAUUGGGCAAUGGGGGAAACCCU